GGGAGCGUUCUGUAAGCCUGUGAAGGUGUGUCGUGAGGCAUGCUGGAGGUAUCAGAAGUGCGAAUGCUGACAUAAGUAACGAUAAAGCGGGUGAAAAGCCCGCUCGCCGGAAGACCAAGGGUUCCUGUCCAACGUUAAUCGGGGCAGGGUGAGUCGACCCCUAAGGCGAGGCCGAAAGGCGUAGUCGAUGGGAAACGGGUUAAUAUUCCCGUACUUGGUGUUACUGCGAAGGGGGGACGGAGAAGGCUAUGUUGGCCGGGCGACGGUUGUCCCGGUUUAAGCGUGUAGGUGUGUGUUCCAGGUAAAUCCGGUUCACUUUAACACUGAGGCGUGACGACGAGGCACUACGGUGCUGAAGCAACAAAUGCCCUGCUUCCAGGAAAAGCCUCUAAGCAUCAGGUAACACGAAAUCGUACCCCAAACCGACACAGGUGGUCAGGUAGAGAAUACCAAGGCGCUUGAGAGAACUCGGGUGAAGGAACUAGGCAAAAUGGUGCCGUAACUUCGGGAGAAGGCACGCUGACACGUAGGUGAAGUGAUUUACUCAUGGAGCUGAAGUCAGUCGAAG
This 568-nucleotide ribosomal RNA is filed under the name Salmonella enterica subsp. enterica serovar 4,12:i:-. RNAcentral describes it as "partial 23S ribosomal RNA". It matches the Rfam family "Bacterial large subunit ribosomal RNA", at positions 1232 to 1782 of the family's 2925-position model. The record is from RNAcentral. Lineage: Bacteria; Pseudomonadati; Pseudomonadota; Gammaproteobacteria; Enterobacterales; Enterobacteriaceae.